RNAcentral lists this ribosomal RNA (441 nucleotides) under uncultured bacterium. RNAcentral's name for it is "partial 16S ribosomal RNA". It matches the Rfam family "Bacterial small subunit ribosomal RNA", at positions 339 to 795 of the family's 1533-position model. The record is from RNAcentral.
CUACGGGGUGCAGCAGUCGAGAAUCAUCCGCAAUGGGCGAAAGCCUGACGGUGCAAUGCCGCGUGGGGGAUGAAGGCCCUCGGGUCGUAAACCCCUGUCAGGAGGGACGAAGAAGUGACGGUACCUCCAGAGGAAGCCACGGCUAACUACGUGCCAGCAGCCGCGGUAAUACGUAGGUGGCGAGCGUUAUUCGGAUUUACUGGGCGUAAAGGGUCCGCAGGGGGUUUGCCAAGUCUGGUGUGAAAUCUCACAGCUCAACUGUGAAACUGCGCUGGAUACUGGUGAACUAGAGUGCGCGAGGGGUGAGUGGAAUUCCUGGUGUAGCGGUGGCGUGCGUAGAUAUCAGGAAGAACACCAACGGCGAAGGCAGCUCACUGGCGCGCAACUGACCCUCAUGGACGAAAGCGUGGGUAGCAAACAGGAUUAGAUACCCUGGUAGUC